UAUGCACAUGUGUACAUUUAUGUGUCCUGCUCUCAACAAAUUCUCUUCUAAGUUAUAGAUAGCAAUUGUUUUUUAAGUUUUUAGCUAAAGGACAUAGUUGGCCAGUUAAUGCAGAUGGAUUAUUAUUCCCAUUGAAUAAACCUAGCUUAGAGUGCUUUGGGGUAAUUUAAGCAUGUUGCCUACUAGUUAUAGCUAAUAAUUUCAGCUUUGCUCUGCAGGAGACAACUACGUUUUUGUGACAUGAACAAAAUCACAAAAGACGUACGAGCAUUAUUUAGCCCCUAUCCUGGAGUUCUUUGUUGAUGUGUAGUGGCCUCUCAACAUCCCUGAGUGAUGCUUGGACGGGAUCACUCUGCCCUAUUCUGAAGUGAGAGAUUACCUGAGGCCUCUAUGUGAACUGACUCAACCCUGGCUAUGUUGAUCUGGAAGAGAGGACCAUUUCCACCACUGACUGUAGUAAGCUCCAUGAGGACUCCCUCUGUCCAGGUUCUUUUCUUUCAUAUAUGCCAUAUGUCAUGGUCUUGAGCCUCUUCUAGAUAUCUAUACUUCUAAAUAUCUAGAUUUCUAAUCAGUCUGUUAAUUGGAGGGUUGAACAGAUGAUAUCAUUAUUGGCACUAGAGAGGAUUUAUAUUAGGAAAAACAUACAAAUUUUAUCAAAUUGAAUAUGUCAUGAGGUUAUGAUAGUAAAUGAUCAAAAUUAUAGAGAAUAAAACCACAAACUUCAGCCUUCCUCUUGGGAACUGGACCAGCCCUACACCAAAGAUUCUCAACUUGUGGUUGUGCCUCAUAUAUUUAAAUCCCUAAGCCUGUGCAAAUAUUUGUAUAUGAGUUCUUUUUCCAUUGAUCAAGGGUCCAGUUCUUAUUGAUUCCUAAGAGAGUGUAAGCCCCCCCCCAACCCUUUCCUUGUACUAUUUUUGAUAGAGACAGACUGCUUGCUCUAUAUUCAGGUCUCCUGCUAAACUUCUGACUUCUUUAUCCCCAGGUUCAUGAUGCCACUGCUUUUCUGAGGAAUAAGAUUUUUCAGUCACAUAAUUUUGAGGAGUGUUGGAGCUGAAAUACAAACCCAGCAGAACCAGUACCCCUUAUGUUUUGGGUUGCUCUGUUCUUUUCUCUAUACAGGAUCACCCUUUGGGCAGCAGCCCUUUUUAGGUGCACUAUUAUUGCCCUUUGAAGAAUCAUCCUUGUAUAGUAACUGCUUCCUAAGCAUCCUGCCUUCACUGUACUCCAGUAACCUUCCCCAGCCCUGAAGCCUAGAAGCAACCUCUCCAGACUGCUCACUCAGGGCUUUCCCAUUGCACAGCUGGCUGCGGAAAGCAGACCUUUAUCAUAACUGUGUAUUCUAGUCGGCAUAAAUGGACAAGCCUUGCAUCUGGACCAUCUCCAGGAAAUCCAUCCCAAACCCUGAAUGGUCCUGGCCCUGCUCCAAAACUGUACUAACCUCCCACAAAUUGUGAUUCCAGACACGUUUAUACCUUGGCCCCCAGGAUAAUGGAAGCCACAAAAGAGGCAGAAAUUAAAAUGUCCAUCCAGCUGGGCCCACAAUGUGGGCCAGUGAUUACAAUAGAACCAACUGUCUCUUGGGGCACCUGAGGGUAGCACACCUGUGCUUUCCAUAGUAGAAACAGAAUCAUCCAGAGAUAGUUCCUACAUGCUUAGCUAUUGUAAUUAUGAUGUGCUACUUAUCAACCAAGAUUUUAAUGAGCAAUUGGAAAAAAAAAGACCAAGUACAAAACAAUUAUGAGAAUUCUGGUGACCUUUGUCACACACCUUCCAUUGCCAUUUUAUGAAAACUAAACAACCCAAAUUAUUGUUUGAUGGAGGCUGUAAGACAAGAUAGAGUAUUGUGAAUCUCUACCAAGAAGAGUGAGGACCACUCAUAUCUUCCCAGUGACCUCGGGUCCUGAAAGGGAAUCAUCUUCCUCGGGGCCAAGAGGUUUGAUUCAGCCACAGUCCCAGCUGAGAUUGCCAGAGGAGACCUACAAUAGGAAACUUACUGGCUUUGCUAGGGAAAGAAAUAUCUUGGACCUGUGGGGUCUUUACACUGAAGCCAUAUAGGAGGAAAAGGGUGUUGAGGGCAUGGAAAGUAAAAGAGGGAUAAGAGGUCCCUUAGACACCAGGAGAGCUGAAAAAAAUCUCCCAUGUCUUUAAUGUUGGUCGCUACAAUAAUAAAGCGAAUUCCAAAACCAUAUGGCUUUAUCCUUUUCUAAGAAAGAGAUCAUUUAGUAGACUCACAAAGGAUCUAGCUUUUAGGAAGUCAUAGCCUUGCUAGGAAUUCAUCAUUUUAGUGGACUGAAAUCUACUGGAGCUACAGGUAACUCCCAUUGUGUAAUACCGCAUCAAUCUGACAGCUCCACAUACAGACAAUGAUUACGGCUUAUUCGUUCCUUCUACCGCUCAAUAAAUAUUUAUUGAGUGCUCACUAUGUAUAAGUAGCUCUUUUC
Molecule: long non-coding RNA, 2441 nt
Filed under: Mus musculus (house mouse)
Lineage: Eukaryota; Metazoa; Chordata; Mammalia; Rodentia; Muridae
Description: predicted gene, 34069
Source: RNAcentral